This 984-nucleotide long non-coding RNA is filed under the name Cinara cedri. Lineage: Eukaryota; Metazoa; Arthropoda; Insecta; Hemiptera; Aphididae. The record is from RNAcentral.
UCUAUGAGAAGAAAUUUAAGUAUCAACAGCAACUUGAAAAUGUUUAAUUUUGAGUACUUCUCCAAAUCGUUUAUCAAGUUUUAGGUACCAACAUUGAUUUAUUAAUCUAUCUCUUCUUUUAAUUUUCUUUUAAUAAUUUAAUAAAUAAAAUGAUAUGCUAUUGAAAAGAAAAUUUUAUAUAAUUUAUAAAAAAUCAACUAAAAAUGUCAGUUUUGCAAAUUCAAUCACAUUAUAAUUUAUAGACAUCACUUAUGUUGAAAUCACUCUAUGAGUUUGGUUUCCUAAGGAAAUAUAUAUAAAAUGUAACCAUACGUAGUCAGUCAUAAAAUACAUUUUAAAGAAAUUAAAAUAGUAAAAAAUAAUAUUAUACAAGGAAUACCCAAAAUAUAUCAUGUGAUGAAUUUUAGAUUUCAAUCAAAACCGAAUAUCCAGAAUUAUCCAACAAAUAGUAUCAACUUUAAUUACUUUUGAUUCAAUUUAUUUAUUUGAAACAGCAUAUUUUUCUUUUUUGAUGAUAAAAAUUAAAUAUUGUUCCAGAUUGAAUGUUGAAAAAGAUUUAAGAAUGGCCGUCUCAAGUAUAAAACCUACUAACAAUUAAUUAAGUCUAAGAUUCAAGCACAGGUCGCUAUUUAAAUUAUUUUCGUUUUAUAAUUUCAAAAUCAUUAAAACGUUAAUAAUAUUGUUAUAUCAAUUUCAUUAAUUUUUUUUAAUUGUAUUUUGGAAUUUAUAUUUAUUAACUAAAUAUUGAAUUGCCUAAAAUCAAAAAUUUCAUGUAUAUAAACAUACAUAUUGUAUAUAUACAAUAUACUUAUAUAAUGUUGGUAAGGGGUCGCCUCAACAAAAUAAAUAAAUUGGGGGUCGUGGAUCUAUAAAGGUUGUACACUACUGACUGCUCUAUAUGAUAAAGUAUUUUGUAUUUUUGUGUUAAAUUUGUUUAUUCAUAUAUUAUUGUUCUAAUUAUUAUUUAUUACAAAUUAUAUUACA